RNAcentral lists this ribosomal RNA (305 nucleotides) under uncultured bacterium. Its description in RNAcentral is "bacterial SSU rRNA". It matches the Rfam family "Bacterial small subunit ribosomal RNA", at positions 334 to 656 of the family's 1533-position model. The record is from RNAcentral.
UGUCCCUACGGGAGGCAGCAGUGGGGAAUAUUGCACAAUGGGGGAAACCCUGAUGCAGCGACGCCGCGUGAGCGAUGAAGUAUCUCGGUAUGUAAAGCUCUAUCAGCAGGGAAGAAAGUGACAGUACCUGACUAAGAAGCCCCGGCUAACUACGUGCCAGCAGCCGCGGUAAUACGUAGGGGGCAAGCGUUAUCCGGAUUUACUGGGUGUAAAGGGAGCGUAGACGGCAGUGCAAGUCUGGAGUGAAAGGCGGGGGCUCAACCCCCGGACUGCUCUGGAAACUGUACGGCUGGAGUGCAGGAGAG